AUUGCGCCAGUGUGUAAAAUCACAGGUAGCCAUGGUGUCAUGCUUUAUAUACGAAGUCUUCCCUCUCUCUGCCCCUUGUGUGCCCUUGGCCCCUUUUUACAGACUAUUGCUCACAAUCUCAGGUGUCCAUAUUUGCAGCUAUUAGGUAAGAUUGUGCUGUCUCCCUCUUCCCUUCCCUCUGCCCUGCCCCUUUUGCCUCUUUGCUGGGUAAUGUUGACCAGACAAGGCCCUUUCUCUUGGACUUAAACAAUUCUCAGUUGCACUUUCCUUGGUCCCACCCAUUAUACAUGAACCCCUCUACUUCCUUUCGCAUUGCUUCUGAGUAUGCUGACUACCCAAAGCCCCUUCUGUGUUAUUAAUAAACACAGUACUGAUUGUCCCAUUUUUCAGCCCAUCAGUCCAAGAUCUCCCUACCACUUUGGUGUGUUGGUGCAGUGUUGACUAUGAAAAGCAGGCCUGAACUAGGUGGAUAAGCCUUCACUCAUUUUCUUUCAUUUAUUAAUGAUCCUAGUUUCAAUUAUUGUCAGAUUCUGGGGACAAGAACCAUUCUUGCCCACCUGUGUUACUGCUUUACUGUGCAAAAUACUGAAGGCAAGUCAGACCCAGGGAGCUGGAUUGCCAUCCUUUAUUUUGUGUUUCCAGUGUACACUAUAAAAUUGUCUCCCCAGGAAGGAAGGUUGGCACUUUCUCUGCAUUCUUCUUUCCAGAGCAGAUUGCCUGGUUAAGAAUCUCUUGUUGUCCCCUUUGUAUAUUGUUAUUGUAAAGUGCCAAAUGCCAGGAUACAGCCAGAAAAAUUGCUUAUUAUUAUUAAAAAAAUUUUUUUAAGAAAGACAUCUGGAUUGUAGGGUGGACUCGAUAACCUGGUCAUUAUUUUUUUGAAGCCAAAAUAUCCAUUUAUACUAUGUACCUGGUGACCAGUGUCUCUCAUUUUAACUGAGGGUGGUGGGUCUGUGGAUAGAACACUGACUCUUGCUAUUUUAAUAUCAAAGAUAUUCUAGAGUGGAACUCUUAAGACCAGUAUCUUUGUGUGGGCUUUACCAGCAUUCACUUUUAGAAAAACUACCUAAAUUUUAUAAUCCUUUAAUUUCUUCAUCUGGAGCACCUGCCCCUACUUAUUUCAAGAAGAUUGCAGUAAAACGAUUAAAUGAGGGAACAUAUGCAGAGGUGCUUUUAAAAAGCAUAUGCCACCUUUUUUAUUAAUUAUUAUAUAAAAUGAAGCAUUUAAUUAUAGUAAUAAUUUGAAGUAGUUUGAAGUACCACACUGAGGUGAGGACUUAAAAAUGAUAAGACGAGUUCCCUAUUUUAUAAGAAAAAUAAGCCAAAAUUAAAUAUUCUUUUGGAUAUAAAUUUCAACAGUGAGAUAGCUGCCUAGUGGAAAUGAAUAAUAUCCCAGCCACUAGUGUACAGGGUGUUUUGUGGCACAGGAUUAUGUAAUAUGGAACUGCUCAAGCAAAUAACUAGUCAUCACAACAGCAGUUCUUUGUAAUAACUGAAAAAGAAUAUUGUUUCUCGGAGAAGGAUGUCAAAAGAUCGGCCCAGCUCAGGGAGCAGUUUGCCCUACUAGCUCCUCGGACAGCUGUAAAGAAGAGUCUCUGGCUCUUUAGAAUACUGAUCCCAUUGAAGAUACCACGCUGCAUGUGUCCUUAGUAGUCAUGUCUCCUUAGGCUCCUCUUGGACAUUCUGAGCAUGUGAGACCUGAGGACUGCAAACAGCUAUAAGAGGCUCCAAAUUAAUCAUAUCUUUCCCUUUGAGAAUCUGGCCAAGCUCCAGCUAAUCUACUUGGAUGGGUUGCCAGCUAUCUGGAGAAAAAGGUGGAGAUGGGGCAUGAGGAUCCUCCAGGGGAAAAGCUCACUACCACUGGGCAACAACCCUAGGUCAGGAGGUUCUGUCAAGAUACUUUCCUGGUCCCAGAUAGGAAGAUAAAGUCUCAAAAACAACCACCACACGUCAAGCUCUUCAUUGUUCCUAUCUGCCAAAUCAUUAUACUUCCUACAAGCAGUGCAGAGAGCUGAGUCUUCAGCAGGUCCAAGAAAUUUGAACACACUGAAGGAAGUCAGCCUUCCCACCUGAAGAUCAACAUGCCUGGCACUCUAGCACUUGAGGAUAGCUGAAUGAAUGUGUCUUACCCAUUUCCAUGUUUCUCUUGCUAAUUUCUUUCGUGUGUGCCUUUGCCUCAUUUUCUCUUUUUGUUCACAAGAGUGGUCUGUGUCUUGUCUUAGACAUAUCUCUCAUUUUUCAUUUUGUUGCUAUUUCUCUUUGCUCUCCUAGAUGUGGCUCUUCUUUCACGCUUUAUUUCAUGUCUCCUUUUUGGGUCACAUGCUGUGUGCUUUUUGUCCUUUUCUUGUUCUGUCUACCUCUCCUUUCUCUGCCUACCUCUCUUUUCUCUUUGUGAACUGUGAUUAUUUGUUACCCCUUCCCCUUCUCGUUCGUUUUAAAUUUCACCUUUUUUCUGAGUCUGGCCUCCUUUCUGCUGUUUCUACUUUUUAUCUCACAUUUCUCAUUUCUGCAUUUCCUUUCUGCCUCUCUUGGGCUAUUCUCUCUCUCCUCCCCUGCGU
This is a long non-coding RNA of Homo sapiens (human), 2555 nucleotides long. Ensembl annotates it as X inactive specific transcript. Its record names the gene XIST. NCBI's taxonomy places the organism in Eukaryota, Metazoa, Chordata, Mammalia, Primates, Hominidae. The record is from Ensembl.